This 22-nucleotide ribosomal RNA is filed under the name Amylostereum areolatum. Its description in RNAcentral is "partial 18S ribosomal RNA". The record is from RNAcentral. Lineage: Eukaryota; Fungi; Basidiomycota; Agaricomycetes; Russulales; Stereaceae.
GCUGUCUUAUGGUAGGUCAUUA